Molecule: long non-coding RNA, 491 nt
Organism: Chinchilla lanigera (long-tailed chinchilla)
Lineage: Eukaryota; Metazoa; Chordata; Mammalia; Rodentia; Chinchillidae
Exons: 4
Source: RefSeq, a predicted model, not a curated record
CAAAGGUUCAGAGCUACAGCUGGAAAGUGAUCAUUGGCGUGAGGCGUCUGGACCUUUGGAAGAUUAUUUCCCUGAGUGGCAAGGAAUCCCAUCCAGGACACCACAUUACCUUCACUCAUCAUAUCUCCUGAGGCUCCUCCCAGCUGUGGCAGCUUCUCAGAUUUUCCUUGCUCUUCGUGACUUGGACAGUUGUGAGGAGUAGCGCUCAGCGCCUCCCAGCUUUGCAUCUGGGACUUCCCGACACCUGCUUAUGUGGGCUCUGCCAUCUCCCACAGGCUGGCAACGCGUUCCGCAUCAUUCCACUGUUCUCUCGGAACGAUAGGUUCUGGAGGCUGGGAAAUCUGAGAUCAAGAUGCCAGCCAGAUUCCGUGUCCAGUAAGAGCUCACUCUCUGCUUCCAAUGUCUGCGUUCUACUUAUGUCUUCAUAUGGAAGAAGGGCAGAAGACUCCCUCAAGCCUUUUUUUUCAGCUGUAUUUUAUUUUAUUUUUGGU